This 356-nucleotide long non-coding RNA is filed under the name Homo sapiens (human). RNAcentral's name for it is "non-protein coding lnc-AJAP1-8:1". Lineage: Eukaryota; Metazoa; Chordata; Mammalia; Primates; Hominidae. The record is from RNAcentral.
CCAAGAAACAGGCGUCCUGUGGGAUUGGGGAGGGGGCAUACUUGAAGUUGGAAUAUGAGUUGAAAAUGGGGACAAAAAUUAGGGAAGCCAUUAGUUACUUCUCAAAUGCUGGCCACGUGGGACUUGUUUCUGCCCUUGGUGGUCAGAGCCGCGUCUCUGUGUACCACCUGCCUGUUGUUCAUUUCUGCAUUCAGUCUUUCUGCUCAUAUAUUAGACGUCUACAUUGCCUGGCCACUCAAGAUUCUGCCAGGUCCCCAUCGCCUCCCCUCAGCUUCAUGUGGAUGGCCUGCAGGGGCCUUACAGCCAACGUCUUCUCCUAUGUGAAAAUCCUCAUCUCUAAGAUGAUGGUAUUAAGA